AUUGAACGCUGGCGGCAGGCCUAACACACGCAAGUCGAGCGGAGCGGCGGACGGGUGAGUAAUGCCUAGGAAUCUGCCUGGUAGUGGGGGAUAACGUCCAGAAACGGGCGCUAAUACAGCAUACUAUCAGAUGAGCCUAGGUAGGAGUAGCUAGUUGGUGGGGUAAAGGCCUACCAAGGCGACGAACCGUAACUGGUCUGGGCGGAUGAUCAGUCAAACUGGAACUGAGCCACGGGCCAGACUCCUACGGUAGGCAGCAGUGGGGAAUAUUGGAAAAUGGGCGAAAGCCUGAUCCAGACAUGCCGCGUGUGGGAAGAAGGUCUUCGGAUUGUAAAGCACUUUAAGUUGGGAGGCGUUACCAACAGAAUAAGCACCGGCUAACUUCGUGCCAGCAGCCGCGGUAAUAC
Molecule: ribosomal RNA, 407 nt
Filed under: uncultured bacterium
Lineage: Bacteria
Description: partial 16S ribosomal RNA
Rfam family: Bacterial small subunit ribosomal RNA
Source: RNAcentral